GUGAGUCAUCGAAUCUUUGAACGCACCUUGCGCUCCUUGGUAUUCCGAGGAGCAUGCCUGUUUGAGUGUCAUGAAAUCUUCAAUCUACAAGCUUCUUAUGGGAGUUUGUAGGCUUGGACUUGGAGGCUUGUCGGUCCUUUACAGGUCGGCUCCUCUCAAAUGCAUUAGCUUGGUUCCUUGCGGAUCGGCUUGUCGGUGUGAUAAUGUCUACGCCGCGACCGUGAAGCGUGUUUGGGCGAGCUUCUAACCGUCUCGUUACGGAGACAACUUUAUGACCUUCUGACCUCAAAUCAGGUAGGACUACCCGCUGAACUUAAGCAUAUCAAUAAGCGGAGGA
Molecule: unclassified non-coding RNA, 337 nt
Filed under: Agaricomycetes sp.
Lineage: Eukaryota; Fungi; Basidiomycota; Agaricomycetes
Description: partial contains 5.8S ribosomal RNA, internal transcribed spacer 2, and large subunit ribosomal RNA
Rfam family: 5.8S ribosomal RNA (bases 1-71)
Source: RNAcentral